RNAcentral lists this small RNA (168 nucleotides) under Eubacterium uniforme. RNAcentral's name for it is "Clostridiales-1 RNA". It matches the Rfam family "Clostridiales-1 RNA". The record is from Rfam by way of RNAcentral. Lineage: Bacteria; Bacillati; Bacillota; Clostridia; Eubacteriales; Eubacteriaceae.
UGAUAUAAGUGUCAAAGGUCAAAAUGCAUUUAUGCUUGCAUAAGAAGCAUUUUGACUUUAUGACACGCCGAACCAUGAGAAAGUAGCAUUUUACGCAGUAAAAUAGCGGAUUUCGAAUGGUUCUAGGAUUGCGAAAAUUGCGAUAGCAAUGUAGCAAUCCGUAUAUCA